CCAUGGCCCUCUUCUUUGUUCUCUGCUGGAUCCAAGAUGAAAUUGUGCUCCAAGUGUUUUCCAAGGUUCCGUAUGACCCAUCAUUUGAUGAAACAAGAACAGCAGUCAGAUCCAUUACAAAGAGAGACACACAAAAAAACUAUGUGAAAAUGAGCUUAGCCCCUGGUGUUGUGUUGGAACUUCAGAUGCUUGCAGACACUUCAUGAAUGCUCUGUGACACUCAGAAUAGGCUAUUCCCAACAGAAGAGCUUGAACAAUGCUGCAUUUGCAUCAGGUUCAAAUGAGCGAGAGGAACAUUUGGCUAAAAUAUUUGACACUUAAGGAAACUUUUAUCAGGUCAUUGACUAACUUCAGAGAUAAGAAAACAGAAAAUUCAGCACUUUCACACAACAAGAAGUACGCACUUUGCAAAACUAGUUUGGAAAAGUUACAAAAAGAUGGCUUCAGCCUUCAAUAAGCAAAAAUCAACAAUCACUGAAAGAGAGGAUUAGAUUUCCAGAGUUAUCAAAAUGUAAUACACAGAAUGUCCAUCUCUCAACGUAAAAUUAUAAAACAUACAAAGAAACAGGAAAGGAUGGCUCAUUCACAGGAAAAAGGAAUUUGGCAGAACUUGUUCCUGAGGAAACCUGGGAAUUAAAAUUAUUACACAA
RNAcentral lists this long non-coding RNA (650 nucleotides) under Homo sapiens (human). Its description in RNAcentral is "long non-coding RNA NONHSAT072673.2". Lineage: Eukaryota; Metazoa; Chordata; Mammalia; Primates; Hominidae. The record is from RNAcentral.